Molecule: long non-coding RNA, 1248 nt
Filed under: Catharus ustulatus (Swainson's thrush)
Lineage: Eukaryota; Metazoa; Chordata; Aves; Passeriformes; Turdidae
Description: lncRNA (ENSCUSG00005004570.1)
Source: RNAcentral
UUUUUUUUUUUAAGAACAAGUCUAAGGGGUUUUUCUUGUAAUUAGGGUAAGGCGGGGGAGGGGGAAUAUCCCACUGGACAAUUACUUUCUGCAUAUUUUUAGGUCUCUCACAUUCAAUAGAGCUCAUCAAUGGGCAGCACUGAACAUUAAAAUGCAUGAAGUUGAAUUAGGCUGUUUGGCCCCCAAAUGGCCCCAUAGGCAGACACCUUGAAAGAACUGUCAUUUAGAAUACAACUAGCAAAUUAUAUGUAUUUUAGGCUGGAAACAUAGAGGCAUUUAAAGUUUGAAUCAUCAUCAUCAUAAACGGACAAGAAUCAAAAGCAGUUGUGGAAUGAAGCCAAGAAAUUAUCAGUUUUUCAAAACAUCAUUUACAAGAGGCAUUUUUGAUUUUUUUUUUUAACAAAUCCAUGGAUAUAUGCAGGCAGCAUACUGAAUCAUGACAGAAAGAUCUUUGGUGUAUGAGGUGAUUGGGUUUAUUUCUUUAAGGUUUUUCCUUUGCUGCUGUUUAAUCUGGAAUCGGUCCCUAUUCCUGUUAAUUUUAAUUGUAUGCUCUGAAUUUAGAGGUUUUAUGUUGGUAUACUUGGCAUACUUCCAUUUUAUCCUUCCUCACCAUGCUGGAAAUGGGCUCUGGAUCAGACACUGCAAAGGACACGCAUUUGCAAUGGUGCUUUUGAAAGCAGGCCUAUCCCCAGCAGCACACAUCUGCUCCUUGAUGCUGCUUCCCAGCUCUGAGUGCUUGUCAUAGGUGCAAUCUUCAGUGCCUAACAAUAGUGGGUGAACCAAUGCAGUGAGAAACUCUCUCUCUCUCUCUCUUGCUUUUCUUUUGUAGUUGUUUUCAGGCUGUUUGUGACACCCAAGGGAUUGAAAAUGAAUUCUGGAACAUUAUCCAACACCAGGAAAAUUUGGAUACUGCAGAAGAAAGAUGGCUUUUUCCUUCUCUUUAUUUUAGAUCCCCCUGAUUUUUGCUCUGUCUGGCCAUCUCCAGCUGCAAGAACCUGGAAAGCUGGACCACAAAUUUCAGUGGCUGUCAUAAUCUGGUUAUCACCAUCUGUGUCACAGUUCACCCUUCUGCUCUGUGAUACAUCUGGAACAAAGCCAGCUUGUGCUGCUGUGGUGGCACCAAGUCAUGCUCCCUGGAUAUGGGCUGCAACAAACGGGUCACUUCAGCAGAAGCUGCCAAAGGACCCUCAGGGGAUAGAUACCACUGGGUACGUUUCUGAUCCUCAUGGCAUGUUUGAUGUUCAUUGA